GCCGCCGCGCCGGAAAGUUCCUCACCCCUUGCGCGGUGGGCUCCGACUCUCAGGCCAAGUGGGAAGUGCAGCCGGCGGCGCCCACACUUCCAGCUCCAGCAAAGUAACUUUCUGACGCUGGGGAGUGAGGGGGAAAGCGGAAAAAUUCGCAACUGCUCGCUCUUCCCUGUCAGACUGAACGGCCCCUCCCCCCCAUCCCCCUCCGCUGCCUCGCGGCCUCGGUUCCAUGUUCUCUCUCACCCGGGCGAUGUGGGGCUUUUCAGGAAAGGGUGAGGAGAAGGGGAGAGAGAGAGAGAGAGAGAGAAAAAAAAGCGGGGCUUUGCCAGCCCCCUGCCGCAAUAUAGCGACUUAGAAAUGGCGGGGUCGACGCCAACAGCUCGAGUAAGAACUGUGAUGGGAACUUUGCCCAGGCGAGAAGCAGAAGCAAGAUAAGUCAUCCACCAAAACAUGAGCAGGUCCCCAUUCUGAGCUCCAUUCAAAGAAGUGUUUCCAACUGAGUUGUCCAUGUUGCAUAGGGACUGCACAGGAAAGAAUCUACUAAGAGUUGAUUUUAAGGCUCUUUAUUUUGAACUGAUAAUAAUUUUCCAGGACUCUACUCCAGUGCUGAAUUUCUAAUUUAAGAAGUGGUCUGAAAAGAAGGAACUAUUGAAGAAAACUGAGGAGUACUCAGAGAAGUAAAAGGAAAAUCAGGAGAGGAUUGGAGACAAGGUCAUGUUAGCAUCACAUCCUUACUGCAAAUCCUGACCAAAUCCUACAAAUUGAAUUGGAACACUGCCAGCCCUCAUGGAACUGGGUAGAAUGCAUGACUUGGAUGUCUGUAUCUAGCAGAACAUAGAUGCUUGAGUCCUUUACCGCCCUUAAGUUCUCCAGCACGCUUGGAAGUGAGUAUGUAGCUUUUGUUCCUCCUUGGGCUCAGGGAGACCCCCAACCUUACCUUUAAUUGCCCUUGUCUUUUAAGCAGCUGAAGUCAGGGUAGAAAGGAUGAUGGGAGGAAUCUGGGGGUGUGUAGGGAGAGAGUGGCUCUGUGCCAGUGAGCAAAGCACAUUGGUUUUCCACUUUGAAUGACCGAGCAGCUACUCAUGGCUCAACUAAAAUGAAGUUCCAAUGUUUUUGGAUCAUGCAAGUGCUCUGUGAGCUUUGGGGACUCCUUGACCCUUCUUUGUCUUUCCUCUCAGAAGAGAGUGAGCAACAACCAAAACACCAUUUAGGUGAUUCAUUUCAAUCUUAUCUCUUGCUCCUCAGACUCUAAAUAUUCAUAAACAGAUAGGACAGUGGGAGACUCUUACUCUUCUCAUCUCCCCUACCUAUAUUUACUACUGGGCCCUGGGAAAUCUUUUUAAAAACCUAAUUGAGUCCUUAGGAUCCCUUAUCCUUUCUCUUCCAGAAAGCUAUGUCUGUCAGCAUCCUUUUCUUUUUGCUAAAAGCUAUCAAGUUAGCUUGCUACAGUUUUGUGGAUGCUGGCAAAAGACGUGAGAUUCCUGGGUCAGAGAAAAAGGACUUAAUUACUUGUAGCACAACAGGCAGCACAAGCUUCCUGUUCAUGCCAUUUAUGCCCCCAUAAGUCUCAUGGAUGUGAUUUGCAGAAACCCAGAUCAACAUGGCACACACAGUAGGUUUGUAUCACUGCUGAGGGACUCUGAGCAUAGGAAACCUCAUAGGAAACCUCAAUUACAAAGGGGCUGCAAGGAAACUUGCCCAGGGUUUGCCAAGGAGAGAAACAUUAUCUUAAUUAUACGGGGAAGCAAACAAACUUGCCCUCUUCUCUGAAGAGAGAUACUGUCUUCUUCCAAGAUUGUUCUCUAUACAAACAUGCUUGGAAAAAUAAUCCAGAACAAAAAAAAGAGUUCCUCCUCUUGCAAAGAUGUGCAGAAAUGCGAGAGACUCACAGAGAAUUUCUCUCAGCAAGUAGGUUCUGGGCAUUCUUUUCUUUCUCCUUCUCUUGACCCCACUUCCUCUUUGUUUCCU
Microcebus murinus (gray mouse lemur) is the source of this 1965-nucleotide non-coding RNA. Lineage: Eukaryota; Metazoa; Chordata; Mammalia; Primates; Cheirogaleidae. The record is from RefSeq and is a predicted model, not a curated record.